AGUACCCCGCCUGGGGAGUACGACCGCAAGGUUGAAACUCAAAGGAAUUGACGGGGGCCCGCACAAGCGGUGGAGUAUGUGGUUUAAUUCGACGCAACGCGAAGAACCUUACCAGGUCUUGACAUUGAUGGACAGAACUAGAGAUAGUUCCUCUUCUUCGGAAGCCAGAAAACAGGUGGUGCACGGUUGUCGUCAGCUCGUGUCGUGAGAUGUUGGGUUAAGUCCCGCAACGAGCGCAACCCCUAUCUUAUGUUGCCAGCACGUAAUGGUGGGAACUCAUGAGAGACUACCGCAGACAAUGCGGAGGAAGGCGGGGAUGACGUCAAAUCAUCAUGCCCCUUAUGACCUGGGCUACACACGUACUACAAUGGGCUUUAAUAAAGGGAAGCGAAGUCGCGAGGCGGAGCAAACCCCAGAAACAAGCUCUCAGUUCGGAUCGUAGGCUGCAACUCGCCUACGUGAAGUCGGAAUCGCUAGUAAUCGCAGGUCAGCAUACUGCGGUGAAUACGUUCCCGGGCCUUGUACACACCGCCCGUCACACCACGAAAGUCAUUCACACCCGAAGCCGGUGAGGUAACCGCAAGGAGCCAGCCGUCGAAGGUGGGGGCGAUGAUUGGGGUGAAGGCGUAACAAGGUAGAGCUCUCAGUCAGUCAA
RNAcentral lists this ribosomal RNA (655 nucleotides) under Veillonella sp. enrichment culture clone 16695 ECW 1. Its description in RNAcentral is "bacterial SSU rRNA". It matches the Rfam family "Bacterial small subunit ribosomal RNA", at positions 863 to 1533 of the family's 1533-position model. Lineage: Bacteria; Bacillati; Bacillota; Negativicutes; Veillonellales; Veillonellaceae. The record is from RNAcentral.